RNAcentral lists this ribosomal RNA (249 nucleotides) under uncultured bacterium. RNAcentral's name for it is "partial 16S ribosomal RNA". It matches the Rfam family "Bacterial small subunit ribosomal RNA", at positions 83 to 334 of the family's 1533-position model. The record is from RNAcentral.
GGGUGGGGAUCAGCGGCGAACGGGUGAGUAACACGUGGGCAACCUGCCCUCAGCUCUGGGAUAACUCCGGGAAACCGGGGCUAAUACCGGAUACGACUUCCUGCGGCAUCUUGGGAAGUGGAAAGUUUUUCGGCUGAGGAUGGGCCCGCGGCCUAUCAGCUUGUUGGUGGGGUAAUGGCCCACCAAGGCGACGACGGGUAACCGGCCUGAGAGGGCGACCGGCCACACUGGGACUGAGACACGGCCCAG